RNAcentral lists this non-coding RNA (176 nucleotides) under Desulfosporosinus sp. Lineage: Bacteria; Bacillati; Bacillota; Clostridia; Eubacteriales; Desulfitobacteriaceae. The record is from RNAcentral. RNAcentral also lists the same sequence under 1 other name.
GAAAAAUAAAGUCAUUUAGGUGCCCUUUGGGAGAAUAGGGAAGUUCGGUUGGAAACCGACGCGGACCCACCACUGUAUUCGAUGAGCUUUCGUAAAACCACUGGCCUUGGCUGGGAAGGUUACGAGUUUAGCAAUGAUUCGAGAGCCAGGAGACCUGCCUAAAUGUUUACGUCUUC